AUGCAAGUCGAACGAUGAAGCUCCAGCUUGCUGGGGUGGAUUAGUGGCGAACGGGUGAGUAACACGUGAGUAACCUGCCCUUGACUCUGGGAUAAGCCUUGGAAACGGGGUCUAAUACCGGAUAGGAGCAUUCACCGCAGGUGGGUGUUGGAAAGAAUUUCGGUCUUGGAUGGACUCGCGGCCCAUCAGCUUGUUGGUGAGGUAAUGGCUCACCAAGGCGACGACGGGUAGCCGGCCUGAGAGGGUGACCGGCCACACUGGGACUGAGACACGGCCCAGACUCCUACGGGAGGCAGCAGUGGGGAAUAUUGCACAAUGGGCGCAAGCCUGAUGCAGCGACGCCGCGUGAGGGAUGACGGCCUUCGGGUUGUAAACCUCUUUCAGUAGGGAAGAAGCGAAAGUGACGGUACCUGCAGAAGAAGCACCGGCUAACUACGUGCCAGCAGCCGCGGUAAUACGUAGGGUGCGAGCGUUAUCCGGAAUUAUUGGGCGUAAAGAGCUCGUAGGCGGUUUGUCGCGUCUGCCGUGAAAGUCCGGGGCUUAACUCCGGAUCUGCGGUGGGUACGGGCAGACUAGAGUGCAGUAGGGGAGACUGGAAUUCCUGGUGUAGCGGUGGAAUGCGCAGAUAUCAGGAGGAACACCGAUGGCGAAGGCAGGUCUCUGGGCUGUAACUGACGCUGAGGAGCGAAAGCAUGGGGAGCGAACAGGAUUAGAUACCCUGGUAGUCCAUGCCGUAA
RNAcentral lists this ribosomal RNA (737 nucleotides) under Micrococcus luteus. RNAcentral describes it as "bacterial SSU rRNA". It matches the Rfam family "Bacterial small subunit ribosomal RNA", at positions 55 to 805 of the family's 1533-position model. Lineage: Bacteria; Bacillati; Actinomycetota; Actinomycetes; Micrococcales; Micrococcaceae. The record is from RNAcentral. RNAcentral also lists the same sequence under 1 other name.